ACCUCACACUCUUAAUUCCAAAUUAUCUUUUCUCAGCAGGAUGGAAAUAGAUAUCCAAACUGCAUAACCUUUCAUCCAACACUACCACUGCUAGGCUACAGAAAAGGCUUAAGUAACUUAAUUUUUCUCACAAAACCUGAUGUAGAUAUUUGGCAGCUUCUAAUCUGGCUGGGUGCCCUGACAUGAAUUGCAGAUUCUCUGUGCUCCUUUUGAGAGGAGUUUGAGGAGGAUGAAAGCAGAUGCAGACAAACGCAGAUGGAGCCCAGAAGCCAAAUAACAUGAGGCUGCUCACUACAACAGAAGUGGAUUUGGCAGCCUCACACUGUUUUAAGGAAGAAAGCUGCCAGAGGCUUGAAAGUCACUUCUCUGAGGCUCCAUAGCCCCCAACCUAGAAGAAAAAAACUAGAAUCCUACACUUUCUGGAAGAUGUUUGGCCUCAAAAUGUCAUAUGCUAAGUCACUUGUCAUUGCUGCCAAAUCAUUCUUUUGUGCAAAAUGCUACAACUCAACAAAAGGUUUCUGCUUUUGCAUUUUCCUCAUUUUCUUCUGCUGCCACCAUAUAAGAAGUGCUUUCACCUCCUGCCAUGAUUCUGAGGCCUCCCCAGCCAUGUGAAACUGUAAGUCCCUAAACUACCUUUUCUUCCCAAUCUCGUAUAUGUCUUUAUCAGCAGCAUGAAAACAGACUAAUACACAAGGAGUUUCU
This is a long non-coding RNA of Callithrix jacchus (white-tufted-ear marmoset), 702 nucleotides long. RefSeq lists it as uncharacterized. The record is from RefSeq and is a predicted model, not a curated record. NCBI's taxonomy places the organism in Eukaryota, Metazoa, Chordata, Mammalia, Primates, Cebidae.